This 910-nucleotide ribosomal RNA is filed under the name uncultured Burkholderia sp. Its description in RNAcentral is "bacterial SSU rRNA". It matches the Rfam family "Bacterial small subunit ribosomal RNA", at positions 560 to 1491 of the family's 1533-position model. Lineage: Bacteria; Pseudomonadati; Pseudomonadota; Betaproteobacteria; Burkholderiales; Burkholderiaceae. The record is from RNAcentral.
GAAAGGCGCGCGCCCGGUUUCCCUAAACCACCUGUGAAACCCCGGGGUUAACCCUCGCACCGCCCCCGGGGCCCGGCCGGCAAACAAAUGGCCACGCGGGGGUAAAUUCCCCCCGCCGCCCCUGACACCGCAAGAAAGUGCGGGGGAACCCCCCGGGGGAGGCCACCCCCCCGGGCCCAACCUGAGGCUCAUGCCCGAAACCGUGGGGCCCCACCAGGACUAAAUACCCCGGUAGUCCCCCCCCUAACCACGUCAACCUAGUUUCCGGGUCUUAUGAACCUGGUACCAAACUAACGCGUGAAUUGCCCCCUGGGGAGUCCGUUCCAAGAUUAAACUCAAAGGAUUGACGGGGACCGCCACAAGCGGUGGAUGAUGUGGAAAAUUCGGAUCCACGCGAAAAACCUACCCUACCCUUGACAUGUACGGACCUUGCUGAGAGGUGAGGGUGCCCGAAAGGGAGCCGUAACACAGUUGCUCGAUGGCUGUCGUCAGCUCGUGUCGUGAGAUGUUGGGUUAAGUCCCGCAACGAGCGCAACCCUGUCCCCUAGUUGGUACGCAAGAGCACUNUAGGGAGACUGCCGGUGACAAACCGGAGGACCCUGGGGACGACGCCCCGUACUCAUGGNCCUUAUGGGUAGGGCUUCACACGUCAUACAAUGGUCGGAACAGAGGGUGCGCAAGCCGCGAGGUGGAGCCAAUCCCAGAAAACCGAUCGUAGUCCGGAUCGCAGUCUGCAACUCGACUGCGUGAAGCUGGAAUCGCUAGUAAUAGCGGAUUAGCAUGCCGCGCGCGAUACGUUCUCGCGUUUGUACACACAGCCCGUCACACGAUGGGAGUGGGUUUAACCAGAGGCGGCUAGUCUAACCUACAGGAGGGGUAGACUUCUCACCUCAUCACGUGUAAAUGUUAA